AGCUCCAAUAGCGUAUAUUAAAGUUGCUGCAGUUAAAAAGCUCGUAGUUGCAUUUCCGAGGCAAGGGAUUAGUCCGACCUUUGGUGGGUAUUUAAUCCUCUUGCCUCGUCCUUGAGUGGUGCUUCUUGGUAUUAAGUUAUCGAGGAGAUAGCCGCUCAUCGUUUACUGUGAGAAAAUUAGAGUGUUCAAAGCAGGCUUAUGCCGUUGAAUAUAUUAGCAUGGAAUAAUAAGAUAGGACCUCGGUACUAUUUUGUUGGUUUGAGAACCAAGGUAAUGAUUAAUAGGGACAGUUGGGGGUAUUCGUAUUCAGUUGUCAGAGGGGAAAUUCUUAGAUUUACGGAAGACGAACUACUGCGAAAGCAUUUACCAAGGAUGUUUUCA
This 381-nucleotide ribosomal RNA is filed under the name uncultured marine Chaetocerotaceae. RNAcentral describes it as "SSU rRNA". It matches the Rfam family "Eukaryotic small subunit ribosomal RNA", at positions 587 to 972 of the family's 1831-position model. Lineage: Eukaryota; Bacillariophyta; Thalassiosirophyceae; Chaetocerotales; Chaetocerotaceae. The record is from RNAcentral.